UGUGGGAGCUGGCUUGCCUGCGAUAGCGGAGUGUCAGUCAACAAACAGCGACUGAUCCACCGCUAUCGCAGGCAAGCCAGCUCCCACA
This 88-nucleotide unclassified non-coding RNA is filed under the name Pseudomonas cedrina. The record is from RNAcentral. Lineage: Bacteria; Pseudomonadati; Pseudomonadota; Gammaproteobacteria; Pseudomonadales; Pseudomonadaceae.